GAGAGAAAUGGAGAGGGAAGCAGCUUACGAAGAAAGCGCCGUAACAGGAGUUGAAACAAUUAUUCCAGGUGAACAAGACACAGAAGCUGUUAAAGCUGGCAAGAAAACUAUCGAGACGAUCAAAGGAGCUGAAAGAAUCAUGGAGGCCAUUGAAUUGU
Xenia sp. Carnegie-2017 is the source of this 158-nucleotide long non-coding RNA. RefSeq lists it as uncharacterized. The transcript is spliced from 4 exons. The record is from RefSeq and is a predicted model, not a curated record. Lineage: Eukaryota; Metazoa; Cnidaria; Anthozoa; Malacalcyonacea; Xeniidae.